GAGAGAGUAGCAAAGCCUGGUCAAAUGCGCUGGACUCAAAAUCCAGUCCUUCGGGUUCGUGGGUUCAAAUCCCAUCUCUCUCA
This 83-nucleotide transfer RNA is filed under the name Candidatus Woesearchaeota archaeon. RNAcentral's name for it is "tRNA-Leu". It matches the Rfam family "tRNA". From Rfam's summary of the family: Transfer RNA (tRNA) molecules are approximately 80 nucleotides in length. Their secondary structure includes four short double-helical elements and three loops (D, anti-codon, and T loops). Lineage: Archaea; Nanobdellati; Candidatus Woesearchaeota. The record is from RNAcentral.